Molecule: ribosomal RNA, 509 nt
Filed under: uncultured bacterium
Lineage: Bacteria
Description: bacterial SSU rRNA
Rfam family: Bacterial small subunit ribosomal RNA
Source: RNAcentral
CGAACGCUGGCGGCGUGCUUAACACGUGCAAGUCGAACGCGAAAGGGACUUCGGUCCUGAGUAAAGUGGCGCACGGGUGAGUAACGCGUAGAUAACCUGUCUUCAUGUCUGGAAUAAUACGCCGAAAGGGGUACUAAUACCGGAUAUCUUGCUUUUCAUAAGUUAUGCAAGCAAAGGUGGCCUCUGCAUAUGCUACUGCAUGAAGAGGGGUCUGCGUACCAUUAGCUAGUAGGUGGGGUAAUGGCCUACCUAGGCGACGAUGGUUAGCGGGUCUGAGAGGAUGAUCCGCCACACUGGCACUGGAACACGGGCCAGACUCCUACGGGAGGCAGCAGUGAGGAAUAUUGCGCAAUGGGGGAAACCCUGACGCAGCGACGCCGCGUGAGUGAGGAAAAGGCCUUCGGGUCGUAAAGCUCUGUCAAGAGGAAAGAAGUGUACAAUGGCUAAUACCUGUUGUAUUUGACGGUACCUCUAAAGGAAGCACCGGCUAACUCCGUGCCAGCAGCUGC